Molecule: long non-coding RNA, 152 nt
Organism: Hibiscus syriacus
Lineage: Eukaryota; Viridiplantae; Streptophyta; Magnoliopsida; Malvales; Malvaceae
Exons: 3
Source: RefSeq, a predicted model, not a curated record
UCCAAAAUUUGGCAUGGCACGAGCCAUGCACAUAUGUUUGAAAUGUUUAUUUCAGCAAAAAACCCACAAGUUUACAUUAUUUAACCGUUGAGUUCCAAAAGUAAAUGAAACACAUGAAAGAUGAGUGACACAAUGAUACCGAAUGAGUUUCU